UACGGGGGGAGCAAGCGUUGUUCGGAUUUACUGGGCGUAAAGGGCGGGUAGGCGGCCACCGCAAGUCAGUUGUGAAAUCUCCGGGCUUAACCCGGAAAGGUCAACUGAUACUGCGGGGCUAGAGUGCAGAAGGGGCAACUGGAAUUCUCGGUGUAGCGGUGAAAUGCGUAGAUAUCGAGAGGAACGCCUGCGGCGAAGGCGGGUUGCUGGGCUGACACUGACGCUGAGGCGCGAAAGCUAGGGGAGCGAACGGG
RNAcentral lists this ribosomal RNA (254 nucleotides) under uncultured bacterium. RNAcentral describes it as "partial 16S ribosomal RNA". It matches the Rfam family "Bacterial small subunit ribosomal RNA", at positions 524 to 776 of the family's 1533-position model. The record is from RNAcentral.